UUUUUAAGAAGGCAAGAGGAAGCUUGGUUGGGAGAAGCAAAACCCUGACGCGCUUGGGGGUCAGGGUGAAGCAGACAGCCCUGGGAAGUGUUCUGGAGGAAAGAAAAGAAGCCAUCGAGCCCCACACAUGCUCCUCUUUAAUAGUCCUUAACUGAACUACUCAAAUGGAUUGAAACAAAGAAGAUAUUCACCCUGCCUGCAGAAGAAACUGCAGCUCUCAAAAAUUGCUUUCCUGCAUCAGCUAUGUCCUGUUCCAUCUGUGUAGCCAAGGCACUCAGGCUGGUGGUGUCACCUUCUGAAGCUCAGGAACAGCAAAUAUCUCUUUGUGUCAAUUGAAGAGGUGCAGACAAAAUUUCAACAAAAUGUUACUUGAUUUUUUUUUUUAAAUAAAAAAACUGGGGGAAGAUAGUAUGGAAUUCUGUUGUCCAGCAAGGGCAGUAUGUGUAGGGAUUUUGAUCAAAUUCUGGCAUAAUGAAGCAAGGGACCCCUAAAUAGUUCCCUUUGGUUGUACAGAUUGUUACUUCAAGGUGGAGGGGCUUAUGUGUUAUUAUUAGUUUUGAAGAUGGAAAAUGCUCUCUGUGAGUGCUUAGGUAGCAACAGACAAAAAUUAAUUUCAACUGAUAGGGGAGGAAAGGAUCCUCUUAUUGAAAGUGAAAGGCAGUUGGGCAAAUGAAGUUCAGACGAUCACUGGAGAAGGCACAAAUGGAUAAUAAACAUAAAGCUGUGUAACAGUGCAUCAUUUCAGCUGAAUUUUUGUACUUGAUUUGGCUUCUUGGUGGUUGGCAAUUAUUUAUGUGUGGUUUAAAUUAAACCUGGGUUUUCAAAACCACCUGUUAAGUGAACAAAUCCAGCCUAGUUUAGGAUUUUUUUAAUUUUUAGGCAUUUGAUUUUUCCAGAUAAGAGUUAGUGCAGACUUCUGUCAGCACAGUGUCGCAGCAGAAGAGGAGCAGCAGACCACUGCUGAGUGACAGCCUACAGCUCUGAAAUGUGCCAUCCAUCCCCUGGAAAUUUCACAUAAUCUUUUCCAUUCGUCAUCAGCCAGGUUGCUGAUUACCAGAGUAACUGCCAAGCUUUCAACUCCUUGUCAUCAAUGGGCUGUGAAUGACAGACAGCAUUAAUGUUGGCAAGCUCCCACUCUCCUUUUUGCCUUUCCCAAAUGUAAUUAAACUGCACUAAUACAGCAAAAGAAAAGCUGCAGCUUUAUUUUACUCACCCUAAUAACAUAACAAUUAAAUCAGAGAAGCACACAAUUCAGUCAAAUAAACCCACCACGACAAGGAGAUUCAGAGGUAAGGCAAGUGUGGAAUCCCUCUCCUAGAGCCUGGGGAAAGGCCUCCCGUGUUUGCCCUUCUGUUGCAUCUUUGGGUUAAGCAUAAAGGGAAUGAU
Molecule: non-coding RNA, 1386 nt
Organism: Lonchura striata (white-rumped munia)
Lineage: Eukaryota; Metazoa; Chordata; Aves; Passeriformes; Estrildidae
Source: RefSeq, a predicted model, not a curated record